This 1346-nucleotide ribosomal RNA is filed under the name uncultured bacterium. RNAcentral describes it as "partial 16S ribosomal RNA". It matches the Rfam family "Bacterial small subunit ribosomal RNA", at positions 28 to 1381 of the family's 1533-position model. The record is from RNAcentral.
GACGAACGCUUGCGGCGUGCUUAACACAUGCAAGUCGAACGGAAAGGCCCUGCUUUUGUGGGGUGCUCGAGUGGCGAACGGGUGAGUAACACGUGAGUAACCUGCCCUUGACUUUGGGAUAACUUCAGGAAACUGGGGCUAAUACCGGAUAGGAGCUCCUGCUGCAUGGUGGGGGUUGGAAAGUUUCGGCGGUUGGGGAUGGACUCGCGGCUUAUCAGCUUGUUGGUGGGGUAGUGGCUUACCAAGGCUUUGACGGGUAGCCGGCCUGAGAGGGUGACCGGCCACAUUGGGACUGAGAUACGGCCCAGACUCCUACGGGAGGCAGCAGUGGGGAAUAUUGCACAAUGGGCGGAAGCCUGAUGCAGCAACGCCGCGUGCGGGAUGACGGCCUUCGGGUUGUAAACCGCUUUCGCCUAUGACGAAGCGUGAGUGACGGUAAUGGGUAAAGAAGCACCGGCUAACUACGUGCCAGCAGCCGCGGUGAUACGUAGGGUGCGAGCGUUGUCCGGAUUUAUUGGGCGUAAAGGGCUCGUAGGUGGUUGAUCGCGUCGGAAGUGUAAUCUUGGGGCUUAACCCUGAGCGUGCUUUCGAUACGGGUUGACUUGAGGAAGGUAGGGGAGAAUGGAAUUCCUGGUGGAGCGGUGGAAUGCGCAGAUAUCAGGAGGAACACCAGUGGCGAAGGCGGUUCUCUGGGCCUUUCCUGACGCUGAGGAGCGAAAGCGUGGGGAGCGAACAGGCUUAGAUACCCUGGUAGUCCACGCUGUAAACGGUGGGUACUAGGCGUGGGGUCCAUUCCACGGGUUCCGUGCCGUAGCUAACGCUUUAAGUACCCCGCCUGGGGAGUACGGCCGCAAGGCUAAAACUCAAAGGAAUUGACGGGGCCCCGCACAAGCGGCGGAGCAUGCGGAUUAAUUCGAUGCAACGCGUAGAACCUUACCUGGGUUUGACAUGGAUCGGGAGUGCUCAGAGAUGGGUGUGCCUCUUUUGGGGUCGGUUCACAGGUGGUGCAUGGCUGUCGUCAGCUCGUGUCGUGAGAUGUUGGGUUAAGUCCCGCAACGAGCGCAACCCUUGUUCACUGUUGCCAGCACGUUAUGGUGGGGACUCAGUGGAGACCGCCGGGGUCAACUCGGAGGAAGGUGGGGAUGACGUCAAGUCAUCAUGCCCCUUAUGUCCAGGGCUUCACGCAUGCUACAAUGGCUGGUACAGAGAGUGGCGAGCCUGUGAGGGUGAGCGAAUCUCGGAAAGCCGGUCUCAGUUCGGAUUGGGGUCUGCAACUCGACCUCAUGAAGUCGGAGUCGCUAGUAAUCGCAGAUCAGCAACGCUGCGGUGAAUACGUUCCCGGGGCU